UUUUCUCUCUCUCGCUCUCUCUGUACCCCCCACCCCAGCUCAUGCUCUCUCUCUCUCUAAGAAAUAAAUAAAUGGGGAGAUUUUCAUUUUUCUAGCCUUUUUCUCUUCCAUUUAUCAAUAGUCCAAGUGGAUUGAAACACCAUGUUUUAUAAAGCUUCAAGAAAUUAUUUUGAUAUUAUGGCUACCCUAUGUAAGUUUAAAUUCCUAAUAGCAUUUUUACCCAUCAUGUUAAACUUUAUAUAGAGUAUUUCUGAAUUUAGAGAAACCUAUUGAGUGGUAAAUUAAAAUGAAAUAAAAAUAUUGUUACUGAAUUAUUAAGUUUAGAAGUUAUCUAGCGUGUUGCCUUCUUGUCUCAGGUAGAAACUGAGAUCUGAAGAUAUUUUAAUAUUAGUGCAUGGGUGCGUGUGUUAGGAAAGCUUCAAGACCACCCAGUUAUGCUGAUUUACUAGGAUUACUAAUAGGACACAGCAUAUAGUUGUACUCAUGGCCAUGAUUUAUUAUAGUUAAAGGAUACAAAUCAAAAUUAGCAAAGGGAAAAGGCACAUAAGACAAAGUUCAGGGGGAAACCAGGGGCAAGCUUUCAGAGUCCUCUUUCAGUUGAGUCACACGGAAAGUGCUUAAUUCCCCUAGCAAUAAGUUGUGACACCACAUGUGAAAUGUUGCCAGCUAGGGAAGCUCAUUAGAAGGGGUUUUUAUUAGGGGUCGAUGACCCCUUUGCCUAGCAUGUGCCAAAGUUCCAGACUCCCAGCAGGAAAGAAGUAGUCAGCAUAACUGGAUUGUUUCUACGAACAGUUUAGGUGCAUUAAUCUGUACCUAAUCAGGGAGGGUGGGAGCUCUGCUGAAAUCCAAGUUCCUAGGCACCAGCCGGCGAAGGGCCAACCUUGCAAGUGGGCCUUUUAAGAUAGUCAGGCCUGCUAUGUUAACUCUUUUCUGCAUUCUGCAUGUGUGUGUAUGUAACACUUGGCAUAUAAUGUGCUUUUAUUAAAUGUUAGCUGUUUUUAUCUAUUAUAGGGAUUCUUCAUUGAUUACUACUACUUCUAUUAAUUGUGAUCUUCUGCAUUCCUAGGAGAAGAGAAAGUUAAGACUGACUUAUCCAAGGCUCUGGAAGCUUCUACGUUGGGGAUCAGGCUUUUAACUUUGCAUUAUUUACGUGAUAUAAUGAAGAUGAGAGACAACCAGAGAGAGAGGGAACACAAGCAGGG
Molecule: long non-coding RNA, 1202 nt
Organism: Ailuropoda melanoleuca (giant panda)
Lineage: Eukaryota; Metazoa; Chordata; Mammalia; Carnivora; Ursidae
Exons: 3
Source: RefSeq, a predicted model, not a curated record